This is a non-coding RNA of Odocoileus virginianus texanus, 415 nucleotides long. The record is from RefSeq and is a predicted model, not a curated record. NCBI's taxonomy places the organism in Eukaryota, Metazoa, Chordata, Mammalia, Artiodactyla, Cervidae.
UGACUGUUAGUGGUCCUGCUCUGCCAUUGGUUAGCACUGCAGUGGGCCCCUCCCAUGAGUGACCAACGGUCAGUGAGCAACUGUUCGUGGGGGAUUCACCCACGGAUUGAAAAAGUUGUGGCCGUCAGGUGGAGAGUGAGCCAGGAUGGACCUUGGAGAGUGAGGGUUGAGCCUUGGGAGCUUGCCCUUCCUUGUCAGAACAGAGAAGAUUUGUUUGGUGGCGAUUUAUAGGCACUGCGUUACCUGACCAUGAAGUGACCUCAAGAACAAAGGGUCUGACACCAAGAAGUUUACAACAGCCAACCACACCCCUCCCUCACCUUUCCUAGGAAAGGGCUUUGUUGAAGGCUUUCAGGAGUUUGGGCCAUCUCCUUCCAUAGUCCUGCAAUAAAUCUUUCUCUGUUCCAAACUACAA